This 514-nucleotide ribosomal RNA is filed under the name Ceriagrion cerinorubellum. RNAcentral's name for it is "partial 16S ribosomal RNA". It matches the Rfam family "Bacterial large subunit ribosomal RNA", at positions 1830 to 2597 of the family's 2925-position model. Lineage: Eukaryota; Metazoa; Arthropoda; Insecta; Odonata; Coenagrionidae. The record is from RNAcentral.
GUCCUUUCGUUUUCUUUGGAAGGUCUGGCCUGCCCAGUGAAUUAAUUUUAACGGCCGCGGUAUAUUGACCGUGCAAAGGUAGCAUAAUCAUUAGUCUUUUAAUAGAAGGCUGGUAUGAAAGGUUUAACGAAACAUAAACUGUCUUAUUUAUAAAUUUAUAAUUUAACUUUUAAGUUAAAAGGCUUAAAUGUUUUUGGAGGACGAGAAGACCCUAUAGAGCUUUACAUUAUUUUAUUUUUAGUAUUUAUUUGUUUAAUAAUUUGAUAUUAAUUUUAAUAUUGUUUUGUUGGGGUGACAAGAAAUAUAUAUUUAACUUUUAUUAUUUAGUUUACAUUAAUUUAUGACUUAUUGGAUCCAAUACUAUUGAUCAUUAGAUUAAGUUACCUUAGGGAUAACAGCGUAAUCUUCUUUCAGAGUUCAAAUUUACAAGAAGGCUUGCGACCUCGAUGUUGGAUUAAGAUAAUAAUUAGGUGCAGUAGCUUAAUUAAUAGGUCUGUUCGACCUUUAAAUUCUU